UAGGUAGAAGCCCGCUGGUUGGGGCAUAUAGCUGUUAACUAUAAUGUUGUGGGAUCGAGGCCCAUCUAUCUAG
This 73-nucleotide transfer RNA is filed under the name Heteralocha acutirostris (huia). Its description in RNAcentral is "tRNA-Asn". Lineage: Eukaryota; Metazoa; Chordata; Aves; Passeriformes; Callaeidae. The record is from RNAcentral.